This 293-nucleotide unclassified non-coding RNA is filed under the name Basidiomycota sp. RNAcentral describes it as "partial contains small subunit ribosomal RNA, internal transcribed spacer 1, and 5.8S ribosomal RNA". The stretch from base 1 to 47 matches the Rfam family "Eukaryotic small subunit ribosomal RNA", at positions 1785 to 1831 of the family's 1831-position model. The record is from RNAcentral. Lineage: Eukaryota; Fungi; Basidiomycota.
AAAGUCGUAACAAGGUUUCCGUAGGUGAACCUGCGGAAGGAUCAUUAAUGAAAUACCAAAUAAUAAGGCGAGGGGAAAGGAGGGAGCUGUCGCUGGCCUUUCGCGAGGCAUGUGCACGCUUUCUUUAGAACCUUCGUCGUAUGGGCGCGGGGCGACCCCCGCGUCUUCAUAUACCUCUUCGUGUAGAAAGUCUUUGAAUGUUUUUUUAAAAUCAUCGAGUCGUGACUUCUAGGAGACGCGAUUCUUUGAGACAAAAGUUAUUACAACUUUCAGCAAUGGAUCUCUUGGCUCUC